CGGCUGUUGGAAGAUGAUACCUUGAGUGAUCCAUCGACUGUACACAAAAUGAUGAUCUCUUCAGUGCUGACGACGGCCA
Molecule: small nucleolar RNA, 79 nt
Organism: Osmerus eperlanus (European smelt)
Lineage: Eukaryota; Metazoa; Chordata; Actinopteri; Osmeriformes; Osmeridae
Product: small nucleolar RNA SNORD71
Exons: 1
Source: RefSeq, a predicted model, not a curated record